This 1128-nucleotide ribosomal RNA is filed under the name Triticum aestivum (bread wheat). RNAcentral describes it as "partial small subunit ribosomal RNA". Lineage: Eukaryota; Viridiplantae; Streptophyta; Magnoliopsida; Poales; Poaceae. The record is from RNAcentral.
AUGGACAUCGGUUUGUUGAUGGAUUCAAAUCUCGUCAUUUUCUUGAUGAAACAGAUUGUAUCGGCUACGGAGAGGAGGGAUUCAAAAAAUAUGGAUGACUGUGGUCAGUCAGUGGUCCUUCCGUGGAAGGACACAUCGGGAGAUGGACUUGGACGGCUCCAAGAACUAGAAGAAAAUUUAGCACCACUACUUGCACAGAGAAAAGAAAACAGCCACAUUGAGCGCCUAACAUUUCCGGCAUCACCAGUCAAAAGAUUGAGAGGGGAAGCUGUGAGUAACUGCAACAAAGAGCAUAACCUAGGUACCUGCAAUAGCAAGCAUUCUCAUCAGUGGAGCCAAUUUGGCUACUCGUCACAGACGACGUCGUGGCGGCCCUCGCGGCCAAGCACACGGGCGGUGGUGGAGAAGCUUGAGGAGACAGGCUGUCCGUGGAAGCGCUCACGCCGCGCUGCGCCGCCCCGCCGUGACGCCGCCCGACGAGCUCGCCUGCGGCGAGCGCCACGUACACCAGGCACUGCUCCGGUGCAUGCAGGCCCUGCUCGCGGCGCACUCCCUCCGUUUGGACCUGGUGAAUCUUCAGGUAGCCACGGUAGCCAUCUUCCUCCUGGUGACCAUGGCCGCGCCGGCCCGGGCUGUGACGUUCGACGCGUGGGACACCACCGGCGGCCAGCGCUUCGACCAGGCCGUCGGCCUCGCGACGUCGUCACCCUCGUCGUGGAGGAGUUCAACGGCCUCGCCUACACCAGCGACAACGGCAUCCACCUCAGCACCAGCUACGUCGGCGGCUACACCUCCGGCGACGUCAAGAAGGAGGUGACCGGCGUGCUGUACCACGAGGCGACGCACGUGUGGCAGUGGAACGGGCAGGGCGCGGCGAACGGCGGGCUCAUCGAGGGGAUCGCCGACUACAUGCGGCUCAAGGCCGGGCUCGUGCCUGGGCACUGGAGGCCGCGGGGGAGCGGCAACCGGUGGGGGCAGCUGAGGGGAGGAGCAAGAACGGCAGAGAGACGCUGGCAGGCGGGCCAGCGCCUGCAAACGGCGAGAUUAAGCCCCCCAGGUGCCCCCCAGCUUCCUGGGAUUGCCUUGGGGACGCCGGCGUCGUUUUUGGUCGAAUCCGGCGAAAACUAA